Molecule: long non-coding RNA, 319 nt
Organism: Carlito syrichta (Philippine tarsier)
Lineage: Eukaryota; Metazoa; Chordata; Mammalia; Primates; Tarsiidae
Exons: 2
Source: RefSeq, a predicted model, not a curated record
AACUAAUGCCACAACUAUCCUGCUACAAGAUCCUGAGACUAAAGCCAGGUCUGAUGGCAGAGCAGAGAGGUGGAAGUGAGCGGAGUCCUUGAGAUGUUAUUGAGCCACAGUCCCCCUAUCUAAGCUGACACUGCCCAUUAGGAAAUGGGCAGUGUUCUUUGAACGCAGCUGAUACUUAUCAGUCAACAUAUAAGAACCAGAAACAAUCCUCUUGUAAGUAUUGAUUUCAGAUUUCAAAUACAUCUCUAAUGGUACCAGCUUGUAAUUACUUUUGCUGCUUCUUGCACUUGAAUAAAUAAAAAGCAAUACUUUUGAAAAC